AUUUAUCAGCUUUUCAUCUCAAUUAAUGCAUCAAACUUAUGAACAUAGGCCCAACCCAUUAUCGUCGUUGCAGCCAAAGUGGUGCAUGGUUCAAGUCUAGGUCGGACCACUAGCUCAUGCCCUGUGCGUAUGAUUUCCAACGAUGUGACAUAUAUGGGGCCUUCGUUAGGUCUUGAGUUACCACGAAGAAGUUUGAUGUGCAGCUUGUUGUGUUCUCUGAUGCCUCCUAGCCCUAGUUU
This 239-nucleotide long non-coding RNA is filed under the name Oryza brachyantha (malo sina). RNAcentral describes it as "long non-coding RNA (OBRA_LNC001656)". The record is from RNAcentral. Lineage: Eukaryota; Viridiplantae; Streptophyta; Magnoliopsida; Poales; Poaceae.